Molecule: small RNA, 402 nt
Filed under: Pan troglodytes (chimpanzee)
Lineage: Eukaryota; Metazoa; Chordata; Mammalia; Primates; Hominidae
Description: retained intron
Source: RNAcentral
UCGGUUUCCCGAUUCUGGUCCCCGGCCCCAGCAGCGCCUGCCCCUUCCCACCGGGGCCCCCCAUGAUGCCACCACCCUUCAUGCCCCCUCCAGGGAUCCCCCCACCCUUUCCUCCGAUGGGGCUACCCCCCAUGAGUCAGAGACCACCAGCUAUCCCCCCCAUGCCACCUGGCAUCCUGCCCCCAAUGCUUCCACCAAUGGGGGCGCCACCACCACUCACACAGAUACCAGGAAUGGUACCUCCAAUGAUGCCAGGAAUGCUGAUGCCAGCGGUGCCUGUCACCGCAGCGGUAAGCACUAGGGGCCAGCAGGUAGCAGGCUCUGCCCUGCAGUCCCGUGAGUCUGACUUGGAAUGCAGGACUAUGACCUCCGUUCUUUCCCUCUUCUCAUCGCAUCCACCCA